RNAcentral lists this ribosomal RNA (255 nucleotides) under uncultured bacterium. RNAcentral's name for it is "partial 16S ribosomal RNA". It matches the Rfam family "Bacterial small subunit ribosomal RNA", at positions 524 to 776 of the family's 1533-position model. The record is from RNAcentral.
UACGUAGGGUGCGAGCGUUAAUCGGAAUUACUGGGCGUAAAGCGUGCGCAGGCGGUCUGUUAAGACAGAUGUGAAAUCCCCGGGCUUAACCUGGGAACUGCAUUUGUGACUGGCAGGCUAGAGUAUGGCAGAGGGGGGUAGAAUUCCACGGUGUAGCAGUGAAAUGCGUAGAGAUGUGGAGGAAUACCGAUGGCGAAGGCAGCCCCCUGGGCCAAUACGUGACGCUCAUGCACGAAAGCGUGGGGAGCAAACAGG